GGCGCCGGCCCCCUCCCCCAUAGCUCCCGCCCGCCCGCGGCGCCGGGCCGGGGUGGCCGCCGCGCUUGGCGGGCCCUGGCGUCCCGCGGCUGGCGGCGGCUGGACCCGCGGCCGCGCUCCCCUGAGCCGGCAGGUUGCUCCGAAGUUAGGGCGAGGAAAAAGGGUGGCGGCGAUAUUUUCCCCUGGAGGCAAGGUGUCUUAGAGUGCGUGUGAUGGGCCACUACAAACUUCAUUCCCUGGGUUUCUUUGUAGUUGCUGUCAUGGGAAGAUACUUGACUAUGCUGUUGCUGCUGAUGCUGCUUGUGCAGCAUUUUGGAAACUGUGAAGGAAAUCAAAGACCACAUCAUGCUCCACCAAUGCAAUUUACGCAAGUACAGUAUAAUGCCACUGUGUAUGAGAAUUCUGCAGCCAAGACUUAUGUUGGACAUCCAGUGAAAAUGGGCAUUUACAUUACAAAUCCAUUAUGGGACCUAAGAUACAAAAUUAUUUCUGGUGACAAUGAAAACUUGUUCAAAGCUGAAGAAUAUGUUCUUGGAAACUUUUGUUUUUUGAGAAUACGGACCAAGGGUGGAAACACAGCUAUCCUUAACAGAGAGGUAAAAGACCAUUAUGUGCUGACUGUUAAAGCAGUUGAAAAAAAUACAAACACUGAAACGCGCACAAAGGUCAGAAUACAGGUACUGGAUACAAAUGACUUGCGGCCUUUGUUUUCUCCAACAUCGUACAGUGUUUCUUUGCCUGAAAACACAGCGGUAAGGACCAGCAUCGCAAGAGUCAGUGCAACAGAUGCAGAUAUAGGAACAAAUGGAGAGUUCUACUAUAGCUUUAAAGAAAGAACAGAUGUGUUUGCUAUACAUCCAACUAGUGGAGUGGUAGUUCUAACUGGUAGACUUGACUACUCAGACACUAAGCGUUAUGAGAUGGAAAUUCUUGCAGUGGAUCGUGGGCUGAAGCUCUAUGGCAGCAGUGGAAUAAGCAGUAUGGCAAAACUGACUGUUCAUGUAGAGCAAGCAAAUGAACAUGCCCCUGUUAUUACAGCUGUUACACUGACUCCAUCAGAAUCUGACAAAGAUCCAACUUAUGCAAUUGUAACUGUAGAGGACAAUGAUCAGGGUUCAAACGGGGAAAUAGCAUCAUUAAAUAUUGUUGCAGGUGAUCCACUUCAACAGUUCAGAACAGUGAGGUCUGUUCCAGGAGGCAAAGAAUACAGAAUAAAAGCCAUGGGUCACAUUGAUUGGGAGAGUCACCCAUUUGGAUACAACCUUACCCUUCAAGCUAAAGAUAAAGGAAACCCCCCCCAGUUUUCUUCUGUGAAAGUUGUUCAUGUGACAUCACCACAAUUUAAGUCUGGUCCUGUCAGAUUUGAAAAAGAGAUAUAUAGAGCUGAAAUAAGUGAAUUUGCUCCUCCAAAUACACCUGUGAUAAUGGUGAAAGCUCUGCCUAGUUACCCACAUGUAAAAUAUGUAUUUAAAAAUACACCAGGCAAAGUAAAAUUCAAUUUAAACACUCACACUGGUCUUAUUACCACUUUAGAACCUAUAAAAGCACAAUAUGCAUCCCAUUUUGAACUUGAAGUUGUGACAAGUGACAGAAGAGCUUCUGCAAAAGUGCUAAUUAAGGUACUUGGCAUGAACAGCAAUCCUCCUGAAUUUACUCAGACAUCCUAUAAAGCCUCCUUUGAUGAGAAUGUGCCAAUAGGUACGAGUGUCAUGAGAGUAAGUGCAAGAGACCCUGAUGAAGGGGAGAAUGGUUAUGUGACCUAUAGCAUUGCAAACCUAAAUCCUUUGCCAUUUGUGAUUAACCAUUUCAGUGGGAUUAUUAGUACCUCAGAAGACUUGGAUUAUGAAUUGAUGCCAAGGGUUUACAAUUUAAGGAUUCGAGCUUCUGAUUGGGGUAUACCAUAUCGUCGAGAAGUUGAAGUUCCUGUUACUAUUAUUUUAAAUAACCUGAAUGACAAUAUACCUUUGUUUGAAAAAGUUAAUUGUGAGGGAACAAUCCCCAGGGAUCUUGGUGUUGGAGAACAAAUAACAACUGUAUCUGCUAUUGAUGCUGAUGAGCUCCAGUUGGUGAGAUAUCAAAUUGAAUCUGGAAAUGAACUGGAUUUAUUUAGCCUAAAUCCAAAUUCUGGAGUCCUUUCACUCAAACAGUCACUAAUAGAUGGCCCAGGUGCAAAGAUUUCUUUUCACAGUUUGAAAAUUACAGCUACAGAUGGAGAAAACUUUGCAGAACCAUUGUAUAUCAACAUAACUGUAGCAACUAGUCGCAAACCGGUAGACUUGCAAUGUGAAGAAACUGGGGUUGCCAAAAUGCUUGCUGAGAAACUCCUACAAGCAAAUAAAUUGCACAGUGGUGGAGAAGUUGAGGAUGUUUUCUUUGACACACACUCUGUGAAUAUGCAUGCACCUCAAUUUAGAAAUACUCUCCCCAGUAGUAUUGAGGUAAGAGAAGACCAACCUGUGGGCUCUAGCAUAAUACUUAUGAGUGCUAUUGACCUUGAUACUGGCUUCAAUGGAAAGCUAGUGUAUGUUAUUUCAGGAGGUAAUGAAGAUAGUAGUUUCAUUGUUGAUAUGGAAAGAGGAGUGCUGAAAAUUUUAUCUCCCCUUGACCGAGAAGUAAAGGAUAAAUAUACUCUAAAUAUUACUGUCUAUGAUCUUGGAGUACCACAGAAGUCUGCCUGGCACCUUUUAGAUAUAAAAAUUUUGGAUGCUAAUGACAAUGCCCCGGAGUUCCUGCAGGACAGCUACUUUGUUGAAGUGAAUGAAAACAAGGAGCCAAACAGUGAAAUAAUUCAAAUUGAAGCUACUGAUAAAGAUUUGGGGGCUAAUGGAGAAGUGAAAUAUUCUCUUCUUACAGAUACAGACAAGUUUACUAUUAAUGCUGUGACAGGAGUUGUGAAAGUCGUAGGCGUUCUGGAUCGUGAAGAACAGCAUGUCCAUUUCUUGAAGAUAGAGGCUAGAGACCAACCUACUGAAGAACCUCAGUUAUUUUCAACAGUUAUUUUGAAAGUGUCUGUAGAAGAUGUUAAUGACAAUCCUCCUAAGUUUAUUCCUUCAAAUUAUCAUGUGAAAAUUCGAGAAGACCUUCCCGAGGGAACCAUUAUUAUGUGGUUAGAAGCCUAUGAUCCUGAUUUAGGCCAGUCAAGUCAAGUACGAUACAGUCUUUUGGACAGUGGAGACAGCACCUUUGAUGUUGACAAACUAAGUGGAGCAAUACGUAUUGUACAAAGACUGGAUUAUGAAAAGAAACAAUUUUAUAAUUUGACUGUGCGGGCCAAGGACAAAGGAAAACCCAUUUCAUUGUCCGCUACAUGUUACAUUGAGGUUGAGAUAGUUGAUGUGAAUGAAAACUUGCACCCUCCGCGGUUCUCUAUAUUUGCAGAUAAAGGCUUUAUAAAAGAAGAUGCCCCUGUUGGCUCCUCAGUAAUGACAGUAUCUGCUUAUGAUGAAGAUGAAGGACGAGAUGGGGAGAUUAGAUAUUCCAUCAGAGAUGGAUCUGGUAUAGGAGUUUUUCGAAUAGAUGAAGAAAAAGGUAUUAUUGAGACGGCAGAUCGCCUGGAUCGUGAGACUACUUCACAUUACUGGUUAACUGUUUAUGCAACAGACCAAGGCGUUGUGCCUUUAUCAUCUUUCAUUGAAAUCUACAUAGAAGUCGGGGAUGUUAAUGAUAAUGCUCCUCAGACCACAGAACCAGUUUAUUACCCAGAGGUCAUGGAAAACUCACCUAAAGAUGUAUCUGUGAUUCAGAUUGAGGCGUUUGAUCCAGAUUCUAGCUCAAGUGAAAAAUUAACCUACAAGAUUACAAGUGGAAAUCCACAGGGAUUCUUUUCAAUAAACCCCAAAACUGGUCUAAUUACAACCACAUCUAGAAAACUAGAUCGAGAGCAGCAGGCAGAACAUAUACUGGAGGUAAUGGUAACAGACAACGGUAUUCCUCCAAAAUCAACAAUUGCACGGGUGAUUGUGAAAGUUUUAGAUGAGAAUGACAAUAAGCCUCAGUUCUUGCAAAAAUUCUACAAAAUCCAGCUACCAGAGCGUGGUAAGCCAGAACGAGAGAGAACUGCCAGGAGAGAGCCCAUCUACCGAGUUAUUGCUGCAGAUAAAGAUGAAGGCCCCAAUGCAGAGAUCUCGUACAGCAUUGAAGAUGGUGAUGAACAUGGCAAAUUCUUUAUUGAACCGAAAACUGGAGUGGUUUCGUCAAAGAAAUUUUCUGCAGCAAAGGACUACGAUAUCCUUUCAAUUAAAGCUGUAGAUAAUGGUCGUCCACAAAAAUCAUCAACUACACGGCUUCACAUAGAAUGGAUUCCAAAGCCUGUCCCACCCACAGAGCCUAUUUAUUUUGAGGAAGCAUUUUUUUCUUUUACGGUGAUGGAAAGUGACCCAGUUGCUCACAUGAUUGGUGUAAUAGCUGUUGAACCUCUUGGAACACCAGUUUGGUUUGACAUAACGGGUGGCAACUAUGACAGUCGAUUUGAUGUGGACAAGGGCACUGGAACUAUCAUUGUCGCUAGACCUCUUGAUGCAGAACAGAAAUCAAAUUACAACUUGACGGUAGAGGCAACAGAUGGAACCAGAACUAUCAGCACUCAGGUGUACAUCAAAGUUAUAGACACAAAUAAUCACAGGCCUCAGUUUUCUGCUUCAAAGUAUGAAGUUGUUAUUCCUGAAGACACCAUGCCAGAGACAGAAAUUCUGCAAGUCAGUGCCACGGACAGAGAUGAGAAGAAUAAACUGAUUUAUACUAUGCAGGGCAGCACUGAUCCCAUCAGUCUUAAAAAAUUUCGUCUGGACCCUGGAACUGGCUCUCUUUAUACUUCAGAAAAACUGGAUCAUGAGACUAUGAACCAGCAUAUUCUCACAGUAAUGGUUCGAGAUCAAGAUGUUCCUGUAAAGCGCAACUAUGCUAGAAUCAUCAUUAGUGUUAGUGACACAAAUGAUCAUGCUCCAUGGUUCACGAGCUCUUCCUAUGAAGGACGGGUAUAUGAGUCAGCAGCUGUUGGAUCUGCAGUACUCCAGGUUACAGCAUUAGAUAAGGACAAAGGAAAAAACGCAGAAAUUGUCUAUUCUAUUGAAUCAGGGAAUAUUGGAAAUUCCUUCUUUAUAGAUCCUGUAUUGGGUAUGAUUAAAAUUGCAAAGGAAUUAGAUCGUAGUAAACAGGAAGAAUACAGCCUGAUGGUAAAAGCUACAGACAAAGGAGACCCCCCAAUGAGUGAAGUGACCUCUGUGCAUAUAUUUGUUACGGUUUCUGAUAAUGCUUCACCAAAAUUCACAGCCAAAGAAUAUUCUACGGAAAUCAGUGAAAGUGCCAGCAUUGGCAGUUUUGUUGGAAUGGUUACAGCAUACAGUCAAUCUUCUGUAGUUUAUGAAAUAAAAGAUGGUAAUAUAGGUGAUGCCUUUGCUAUCAACCCAAACUCAGGUGUCAUUGUUUCUCAGAAGAUACUUGAUUUUGAAACUUUGCCUGUUUACACUCUAACUGUUCAAGGAACGAACAUGGCUGGCUUGUCAACUAAUGCAACGGUUGUGGUGCAUCUUCGGGAUGAGAAUGACAAUACACCAAUUUUUAUGCAGGCUGAAUACACCGGACUCAUCAGCGAAUCAGCUUCAAUUAACAGUGUGGUUCUGACUGACAAGAAUAUCCCAUUAGUAAUUCGAGCUACAGAUGCUGAUAAAGAGUCUAAUGCUUUGCUUGUUUAUCAAAUUGUUGAACCAUCUGUCCGCAAAUAUUUUGCCAUUGAUUCUAGCACUGGUGCCAUUCGGACAGUAACGAGUCUGGACUAUGAGGAGACAAAUAUUUUCCGCUUUUCAGUGCAAGUACAUGAUAUGGGGAUACCACGUUUAUAUGCAGAAUAUGCAGCUAAUGUAACUAUUUAUGUAAUUGACAUCAAUGAUUGCCCUCCUGUGUUUUCAAGAGAGUUGUAUGAGACAUCCAUUUUGGUUCCAACCUAUAAAGGCGUGAAAGUCAUCAGCGUAAAUGCCACUGAUGCUGAUUCAGGCAUUUUUUCACAAUUAAUUUAUUCAAUUAUUGAAGGCAACAUUGGAGAAAAAUUUUCAAUAAACCCUAAGACUGGAGAUAUAAUAGUACAAAAUACAACUCAGUUAAGAAGCAGAUACGAAUUAACAGUGAGAGCAUCUGAUGGAAGAUUUGCAAGCACUGCAUCUGUAAAAAUUAAUGUGAAAGAAAGCAAAGCAAGCCAGCUGAAAUUCACACAGAGUUCUUACUCUGCAACAGUGCAGGAGAAUUCUACAGAGGCAAAAACAAUAGCUGUUGUUACUGCUGUAGGGAAUCAAAUAAAUGAGCCUUUGUUUUACAAUAUUAUAAAUCCAGACAGCAGAUUUAAAAUAAGCCCAACUUCAGGAGUUCUUUCAACAACAGGAAUACCAUUUGAUCGUGAACAGCAAGAAUCUUUUGAUGUGGUCAUAGAAGUGACAGAGGAAUAUAAACCAUCAGUUGUUGCACACAUUGUAGUGAAAGUCACAGUGGAAGAUGUAAAUGAUAAUGCCCCAUUUUUUGUCAAUCUUCCAUAUUAUGCUGUUGUUAAAGUAGACUCUGAAGUAGGCCAUGUUAUUCGACGUGUCACUGCAGUAGAUAAAGAUACAGGCAGAAAUGGAGAGGUGCAUUACUAUCUCAAAGAACAUCAAGAACAUUUCCAAAUUGAUCCCACUGGUGAAAUCUCACUGAAGAAGAAGUUUGAACCAGACACAGUAAAUAAGGAGUAUCUGGUCACAGUAGUGGCAAAAGAUGGAGGAGACCCUGCUUUUUCUGCUGAAGUUGUAGUCCCAAUUACAGUUAUGAGUAAAGCUAUGCCAGUUUUCGAAAAGCCUUUCUACAGUGCAGAGAUACCAGAAAACAUUCAGCUCCAUAGUCCUGUGGUUCAUGUACAAGCAAACAGCCCAGAAGGACUUAAGGUGUUUUACAGCAUCACAGAUGGAGAUCCUUUCAGUCAGUUCACCAUCAACUUCAACACUGGCGUUGUAAAUGUUGUUGCGCCUCUUGACUUUGAGUCUCAUCCAGCCUACAAACUGAGUAUUCGAGCAACUGACUCCCUAACUGGGGCGCAUGCUGAUGUGUUUGUAGACAUAAUAGUGGAAGACAUCAAUGAUAAUCCUCCUGUGUUUACAGAGCAGUCUUACACUGCAACCCUUUCUGAGGCAUCUGUCGUUGGAACAUCAGUUGUACAAGUGAGCGCUACAGAUGCUGAUUCUGGAACAAACAGGGGGAUUUCCUAUCACUUGGUUGAGGAUAAUAGUGAAAGUCAUGACUACUUCCACAUAGACAGCAGCACUGGACUCAUUCUUACUGCAAGAACUUUGGACUACGAACAGAUUAAACAACACAAGUUACUUGUAAGGGCCAUAGAUGGUGGCAUGCUGCCCUUGAGCAGUGAUACUGUUGUAACUGUUGAUGUAACUGAUCUCAAUGAUAACCCCCCUCUUUUUAACCAAUUGCUUUAUGAAGCUAAAAUUAGUGAACUUGCUCCCCGAGGGCAUUUUGUGACAUGUGUGCAAGCCUCAGAUGCAGAUAGUUCGGAUGUUGACAAGCUGGAGUACUCCAUUCUGACAGGCAAUGACCAAAAGAAUUUUGUAAUUAAUAGUAAAACUGGUAUUAUCACCGUCUCAAACCUACGCAGACAGGCACUAAAGUCACAUUAUAAUCUUAAUGUGUCUGUUUCUGAUGGGGUUUUCAGAAGCUCAGCCCAAGUCCAUAUAACUGUAACUAGUGCCAAUAUGCAUAGUCCUGUUUUCAGCCAGAAUGAAUAUGAGGUUGAACUAGCUGAAAAUGCUCCGAUGCGUACUUUGGUGACUCAAGUUAAAGCAACAGAUGAAGAUUCUGGUACAUAUGGCCACAUCACUUACCACAUUGUGAAUGACUUUGCCAAAGACAGAUUUUAUACAAAUGAGAGAGGGCAGAUAUUUACCUCUGAAAAGCUUGACCGUGAAACACAAGCAGAAAAAGUAAUUGCCAUUAGUUUAAUGGCCAAAGAUUCAGGAGGAAAAGUUGCUUUCUGUACUAUUAAUGUUAUACUUACAGAUGACAAUGAUAAUGCUCCUCAGUUCCGAGCAACAGAGUAUGAAGUAAAUAUUGGAUCUGAUGUUCCACGGGGUACUUCUGUCAUUAAAGUCUGGGCAUCUGAUGCUGAUGAGGGUACAAAUGCAGACAUCACAUAUGCUAUUGAAGCAGAGUCUGAAAAUGUUAAAGAGAAUUUGGAAAUUGAUUCAUUGUCUGGUAUAAUUACUACAAAAGAAAGCUUAAUUGGUUUAGAAAAUGAAUUUCUGACCUUCUUUGUUAGAGCAAUUGAUGGUGGGUCCCCCCAAAAAGAGUCAGUUGUUCCUGUCUAUGCUAGAAUACUCCCACCAGAAGUGCCUCUUCCAAAAUUUUCAGAGCCUUUUUAUUCCUACACUGUUUCUGAAGACAUUCCAGUUGGGACUGUGAUAGAUAUUAUCAAAGCAGAGCAUAAUCAAACUUUAGUAUAUAGUCUGAUUAAAGGGAACACUCCUGAAAGCAAUAGAGAUGAUUUUUUUGUGAUUGACCGACAGACUGGAGCAUUGAAACUGGAGAAGAAUCUUGAUCAUGAAACAACUAAGUGGUACCAGUUCUCAGUUCAAGCACAGUAUGCAAGUGAAGAUUAUAAUGUUGUUUCCUCAGUAGAGGUAAGCAUUCAAGUAAAAGACGUAAAUGAUAACCAACCAGUUUUGGAGUCCAAUCCAUAUGAAGCAUUCAUCGUAGAAAACAUGCCAGCUGGAACAAGAGUCAUCCAGGUUAAAGGAACUGACUUAGAUUCAGGACUCAAUGGGCAGGUUACUUACAGCUUGGAUCCUUCUCAAGAACUAGACACUAUAGAGUCUUUUACCAUAAACAUGGAAACUGGCUGGAUUACCACUCUCAAAGAACUUGAUCAUGAGAAACGAGACAAGUACAGAAUCACAGUGAUUGCAUCUGAUCGGGGUGAAAAAAUUCAACUGUCCUCUCUGGCUGUAGUUGAAGUUACUGUUACGGAUGUGAAUGACAAUCCUCCACGCUUUACUGCAGAGAUAUAUAAAGGAACAGUCAGUGAGGAUGACCCUCCUGGUGGAGUAAUUGCCAUCUUGAGUACAACUGAUGCGGAUACAGAAGAAGCCAAUAGACAAGUUUCCUAUUACAUUACAGGAGGUGAUCCCUUGGGACAGUUUGCUAUUGAAAAUAUACAGAAUGAAUGGAAGGUCUAUGUCAAAAAGCCUCUGGACAGAGAAGAAAAGGAUAAUUACCUUCUAAAUAUUACAGCUACUGAUGGGACCUUUGCAACUAGGGCUGUGGUGGAGGUUAAAGUCCUUGAUGCUAAUGAUAAUAGCCCUGUUUGCGAAAAGGCUUUAUACACUGAUUCUGUUCCUGAGGACGCCCUUCCUGGCAAACUGAUAAUGCAGGUAUCUGCCACAGAUGCAGAUAUUCGUUCCAAUGCAGAAAUUACUUACACACUGCAUGGCACAGGAGCAGAAAAAUUCAGGCUCACUCCCGACACAGGUGAACUGAAAACAUCAAUGCCACUUGAUCGUGAGCAGCAAGCAGUCUAUUAUCUACUAGUGAAAGCCACAGAUGGAGGAGGAAGGUUCUGCCAAGCGAAUAUUAUUCUGACUCUGGAAGAUGUGAAUGAUAAUGCCCCAGAGUUCACAGCUGAUCCUUACUCCAUUACAGUAUUUGAAAAUACAGAGCCCAAAACCCUUUUGACAAGAGUACAGGCAACAGAUGCAGAUGCAGGGAUGAACCGUAAAAUCCAUUAUUCACUGGUGAACUCUGCAGAGGGCCAGUUCUCUAUUGAUGAAUUUUCUGGAAUCAUUCGGUUGGAGAAGCCUUUGGAUCGGGAGCUACAAGCUGUGUACACUCUAACUUUAAAGGCUACAGAUGAAGGUUUACCUAGAAGACUGUCUUCAACAAGUAGUCUUAUAGUUUCUGUUUUGGAUAUAAAUGAUAAUCCACCUGUAUUUGAGCAUAGGGAGUAUAGUGCAAGUGUAUCAGAGGACGUUUUGGUUGGAACUGAAGUUCUCCAGAUCUAUGCUGCAAGCAGGGACAUUGAAGCCAAUGCUGAAAUCACAUACUCAAUAGUCAGUGGGAAUGAACAUGGAAAAUUCAGCAUCGAUUCAACAACAGGAGCCAUUUUUAUAAUUGAGAGCUUGGAUUAUGAAAGUUCUCAUGAGUACUACUUGACAGUGGAAGCCACAGAUGGAGGCACACCUUCCUUAAGUGAUGUUGUAACAGUGAACAUUAAUGUAACAGAUAUCAAUGACAAUACUCCAGUGUUCAGCCAAGACACUUACACUGCAGUAAUCAGUGAAGAUGCUAUACUUGAACAAUCUGUCAUUACAGUUAUGGCAGAUGACGCUGAUGGACCUUCAAACAACUGCAUUCACUACACCAUUAUAGAUGGCAAUCAGGGAAAUCCUUUUACAAUUGACCCUACUAGGGGUGAAAUAAAAGUGACUAAACUUCUAGACAGAGAAAAGAUUUCAGGAUAUACCUUGACAGUUCAGGCUUCGGACAAUGGAAACCCACCUAGACUUAACACAACCACAGUUAAUAUUGAUGUUUCUGAUGUAAAUGACAAUCCUCCAGUAUUCUCAAAAGGAAACUAUAGUGUUAUCAUCCAGGAAAAUAAGCCUAUUGGAUUUAGCGUGCUACAGCUAGUGGUGACCGACAAGGAUUCUUCUCACAAUGGCCCUCCUUUUCUCUUCACCAUCCUGAGUGGAAAUGAAGAGAACACUUUUCAGAUUAACCAGCAGGGAGUACUGACAACAACUGCCGCUCUCAAUCGCAAAGUGAGGGAUCACUAUUUACUUCAUGUUAAGGCGACAGAUAAUGGAAAACCACCGUUGUCAUCUUUGACUUACAUUGACAUUAGAGUUAUUGAGGAAAGCAUUUAUUCUCCAGCAAUUCUGCCUCUAGAAAUCUUUAUCACAGCCUUUGGGGAAGAAUAUUCAGGUGGUGUCAUUGGAAAAAUUCAUGCAACCGAUCAAGAUGUUUAUGAUACUUUGACAUACAGUCUGGACCCCAAAAUGGAAUCCUUGUUCUCCGUUUCCAGUACUGGUGGCAAACUAAUAGCACAUAAAAGGUUAGAUGUAGGACAGUACCUCCUAAAUGUCACUGUUACAGAUGGAAAAUUUACAACUGCAGCUGAUAUUACUGUACACAUCAGACAAAUCACACAAGAGUUACUAAACCACAGUAUUGCAAUACGCUUUGCAAAUCUUGCCCCUGAAGAAUUCAUUGGUGAUUACUGGCGCAAUUUCCAGAGAGCUUUAAGAAACAUCUUGGGCGUGAGAAGAAAUGACAUCCAGAUUGUCAGUUUGCAGCCUUCAGAUCCUCCUUCAAACCUGGAUGUCCUCCUGAAUAUUGAAAAGUCUGGUAGCUUUCAGCACCCAAUGAGAAUUUUGCUCCACAAGAUAAACUCUUCUGUGCCUGACCUAGAGGAGAUUUUAGGUGUCCGGAUAAUCGAUGUUUUCCAUAAGCUUUGCGCUGGCCUAGAUUGUCCUUUGAAAUUUUGUGAAGAAAAAGUAACAGUGGAUGAGAACAUCAUGUCAACCCACAGCACAGCCAGGUUGAGUUUUGUCACUCCUCGUCAUCACAGAACAGCAGUUUGUCUUUGUAAAGAAGGGAAAUGCCCCCUAGUGAAUAACGUGUGUGAAGGAAACCCAUGCCCUGAAGGUACUGAAUGCUUAGGAGAUCCAAAGGAAGGAAAAUAUACCUGUGUUUGCCAAGACAGCAAAACUGGACAGUGUCCUGCAUCAGCUGGCUCUGCUGUGACUUUCACUGGGAGCAGCUACGUGAAGUACCGUCUCAUGGAAAAUGAGAACAAAGAGGAAAUGAAGCUGACAAUGAGACUUAGAACUUACUCUGCUCAUGCAGUUGUUAUGUAUGCUCGAGGAACAGACUACAGUAUCUUAGAGAUUCACCAUGGAAGGCUGCAAUAUAAAUUUGAUUGUGGCAGUGGACCUGGGAUUGUCUCCGUUCAGAGCAUUCAGAUUAACGAUGGCCAGUGGCAUUCAGUAUCUCUGGAAGUGGAUGGAAAUUAUGCACGACUUGUUCUGGAUAGGGUGCAUACUGCAUCUGGUACUGCUCCUGGCACACUUAGGACACUAAACCUAGAUAAUCAUGUGUUUUUUGGUGGUCAUAUUCGGCAGCAAGGUACAAGACAUGGCAGAAGUCCUCAGGUUAGCAAUGGUUUCAGAGGCUGUAUGGAUUCUGUUGUACUUAAUGGACAAGAGCUGCCUCUAAACAGUAAGCCACGAAAUUAUGCACACAUGGAAGAAUCUGUAGAUGUGACUCCUGGAUGUUUACUGACUACCACAGAAGGUUGUUCAAGCAGCCCAUGUCAGAAUGGAGGAAUCUGCAACGCCCUGACAAAUGGAGGUUACUACUGCAAGUGUGGUCCUUUGUUUAUGGGAACUUACUGCGAUGUGAGUGUCAACCCAUGUGCUUCCAACCCCUGCCUUUACGGUGGUACUUGCAUCCCGGUCAGUGAUGAUUUUAUCUGCCAAUGCCGAGGACAGUAUACAGGCCAAAGGUGCCAGCUGGGUCCAUAUUGCAAGGACAAUCCUUGUAAAAACAGUGGCAAGUGUAUUGACAGUUUGGAUGGACCUGUUUGUGAGUGUGAAGCAGGCUUUCGUGGAGAAAGGUGCCUGACUGAUGUGGAUGAAUGUGUAGAAAACCCAUGUCUUAAUGGUGCCCUUUGUGAGAACACUUAUGGUUCCUAUCACUGCAACUGUAGCCAUGGAUUUGGAGGAAAACACUGCACAGACAUUGUUCUUAACAAAUAUGUGUCAACAUCUUGGAACAUUAGCUUAGCUGAAGUGAUUGGGAUUAUUGUUUUCAUCGCAGGAAUAUUCUUGUUAGUUGUGAUUUUUGUUGUUUGCCGCAAAGUGAUUAGUAGAAAGAAGAAGCACCAGCCAGAACCUGAAGACAAGCAACUGGGAACUACAACAGCUUUCUUGCAAAGACCUUAUUUUGAUGCAAAAUUGAAUAAGAAUAUCUAUUCUGACAUCCCACCACAGGUUCCUGUUCGUCCCAUUUCAUACACACCAAGCAUUCCAAGCGACUCCAGAAACAAUCUUGACAGGAAUUCUUUUGAGGGGUCUGCUAUCCCCGAGCACCCAGAGUUUAGUACUUUUAACCCAGAUUCUGUACAUGGUCACCGGAAAGCUGUGGCUGUUUGCAGCGUAGCACCAAAUUUGCCACCUCCACCUCCCUCCAACUCUCCUUCAGACAGCGAUUCAAUACAGAAACCCAGCUGGGAUUUUGACUAUGACACUAAAGUAGUAGAUCUUGACCCCUGCCUUUCAAAAAAGCCUCUGGAUGAAAAGAACUCCCAUCCUUAUAGUGCUAGAGAAAGCAUGUCUGAGGUCCAGUCACUCAGCUCCUUUCAGUCUGAAUCAUGUGAUGACAACGCUCCCAUAUGGAUCAGAUCAGUUCUGAGUGAGAGCAGAGUUUAAGGGACUGCUUCUUCCAUAGUGACUGUAAUACACCUUGUCAAUGCUGUUGUUGACUCGGUGGAAAAAGAAGAAUCUUUUGCUGUUCCUGACCUCAGCAAUUCAAGAGGUUAUCACUGGGAUACAUCAGAUUGGAUGCCAAGUGUUCAGUUGCCAGGGAUCCAAGAGUAUCCAAAUUAUGAAGUGGUUGAGGAGUCAGCUCCCCUUUACACGGAUCCAAACACCAUCGAUACAGACUAUUACCCUGGUGGUUAUGACCUCGAAAGUGAUUUUCCACCUCCACCUGAUGACUUUCCUGCACCUGAUGAGCUUCCACCAUUACCACCAGAAUACAGCGACCAGUUUGAGUCAAUACAGCCACCCAGAGACAUGCCAGCCGUAGGUAGCUUGGGCUCUUCUACAAGAAGCAGGCAGAGAUUUAACCUUAAUCAGUACCUUCCCCAUCACUAUCCUGCAGACAUGUCAGAACCUCAGACCACCACCAGUGGUGUCAACGGCAGUUACAGAGAACCUUACACUCCUUACACGUUAGGGUACAAUAGAGACUUUGAAGCGCCCACUGUAGACAACAUGUCCAUGUCUGUGUAUGCUUCCACAGCUUCAUGCUCUGAUGUGUCAGCGUGCUGUGAAAUGGAGUCUGAAGUCAUGAUGAGUGACUAUGAGAGUGGAGACGAUGGUCAUUCUGAAGAUGUGAAAAUUCCUCCACUUGAUUCCCAGCACCAUACAGAAGUCUGACACGCUCAACAAAAGUGCCUGGACUCUAACAAACUUUGUCAAUUGUAGAACAACUUUCUAGAGCUUUUUUAUUUUUUUUCCCCGGCCACAGGGAAUGCUUUUGUUUCAGUGAGCUAAACUGGCAUGGCAGUGUUGGAUCAUGCAGUUCAUUUCUUGCUAUCAGCCUGUUUCCAUUUCCUGACCUGCUGUAAUCAGUUCUGAUAUUUCCAUUGGCUGUGCCAUUUCUGAACAUCCUUUUUGUACUUACAUUGUCUAUGUUAAAAAAAAAUCACAUACCACUUCUCCAUGUUAGCAUGAUGCAUAUAUUUAUAUAGUUCUAAUGCAAUUAAUUUUCGCCUACUUUUUGUAAAUUUUAUGUACAGUUUUGAUUUUAAUAGUUUUAACUAGAUUUUGUAGAUAUUUUGUGAAUUUGUUUUCCACUGAAACUAGUGGUGUUAGUGUGCCAUUAAAAACCAGCACCCUGACUUACUAUAAUCAGGGCAUCACUGUAUGUAUUCCCCCAAAAACUAAGGUUUGAAAUUUCAUUAUAAAAAAUUCAACAUAUUCACACAAUUCUAAUUGUACAGAAGUCAGGUCUGAUAUUUUUCUGGGUCAGCUACAUGGAAAUGUCUUAAAUGGGUUGCUGUAUUUUAGAAGUGUAAACAUUUUUUCCCUUCUUGGAAAGUGUGUUGGAGACCCUCUACAUAUCAGUUCAGAACCAAAACCACCAUGACACAGUUUUUAUAGUGUCUGUAUAUUUGUGAUCCUAUGGUCUUGUAAAGGUUUUUACUGAAAAUUACCAUUAGCCAGUCUUUCUUACUGACAAUAAAUUAUUAAUAAAAUACUUUAGCUUUGCUCUGUGUAUCUCUAUUAUAUAAUAUACAAUUGACAAAAGCAUUCAGUGCAGCAUUUUUAAGUCUGUAAAUGUUUUGUACUGUGUUAAGUUACUUGCUCCAAACAACUCAUUUUCCUCUCUUCUGCAAUCAAACUGCAGCUAUGUUAGAGAUGCUCACUAGAUGGCAGUGUCUGUCUACGUAAUGGUGUUUUUAAAAGUAAUCGGGCCAGUAUGAAUAAAGAUUGAUGGGUAUUAAACUUC
This is an RNA transcript of Columba livia (rock pigeon), 15258 nucleotides long. It is a transcript of the gene named FAT atypical cadherin 1, with no coding region annotated. NCBI's taxonomy places the organism in Eukaryota, Metazoa, Chordata, Aves, Columbiformes, Columbidae. The transcript has 30 exons. The record is from RefSeq and is a predicted model, not a curated record.